UCCUGCGCCUCUUCAGGUCAUCGCUUGCUGUCGUUCCCAGGCUUUGGCCUCUAGUGGACGAGAAUCACCGAGUCUGCGGGGCUGGACGCUGACCGCCCGGGCCAGCACCUAGGCGGGCGGGAGCUGUGCGGCCCAGGGUUCGCGCGGGCCGGGUAGAGGCUCGAGCCGGGACCCCCGAGCGUGAACCCCGGAGCCGGCGGCGCUGGGGCCAGAGGGGCCGGGCGGGAGGUGGUGGCGGAGGCGAAGGGGCGACAGGACCUGGGCCUGGCCCGUGUGUGUUCUCAGCGGCCUGGCGCCAGCCGUCGCUGUACGGUGAGCCCCAGGGAGGCGGAUCUGGGCCCCGAGAAGGACACCCGCCUGGAUUUGCCCCGUAGGCCCGGCCCGGGCCCCUCGGGAGCAGAACAGCUUUGGUGAGGUGGACAGGAGGGGACCUCGCGAGCAGACGCGCGCGCCAGCGACAGCAGCCCUCCCCGGCCUCUCGGGAGCCGUGGGGCAGAGGCUGCGGAGCCCCAGGAGGGCCAGAGCCCUCAUGACUUCAGUGACCUGCUUCUGCCCCUCUAGGUCUAUCAGCCACAGUCUCUGCAAGUUUCCAAGAGCAGCAGAAAAUGAACACAUUGCAGGGGCCAGUGUCAUUCAAAGAUGUGGCUGUGGAUUUCACCCAGGAGGAGUGGCAGCAACUGGACCCUGAUGAGAAGAUAGCAUACGGGGAUGUGAUGUUGGAGAACUACAGCCAUCUAGUUUCUGUGGGGUAUGAUUAUCACCAAGCCAAACAUCAUCAUGGAGUGGAGGUGAAGGAAGUGGAGCAGGGAGAGGAGCCAUGGAUAAUGGAAAGUGAAUUUCCAUGUCAACAUAGUCCAGGACAAAGCAGUUCCAAUUCCAGAGAAAAUGAGUGAAUGGGCACCUCGACCUCCCCCAGAAUUUGUCCGAGAUGUCAUGGGUUCAAGUGCUGGGGCCGGCAGUGGAGAGUUCCACGUGUACAGACAUCUGCGCCGGAGAGAAUACCAGCGACAGGACUACAUGGAUGCCAUGGCUGAGAAGCAAAAAUUGGAUGCAGAGUUUCAGAAAAGACUGGAAAAGAAUAAAAUUGCUGCAGAGGAGCAGACCGCAAAGCGCCGGAAGAAGCGCCAGAAGUUAAAAGAGAAGAAAUUACUGGCAAAGAAGAUGAAACUUGAACAGAAGAAACAAGAAGGACCCGGUCAGCCCAAGGAGCGGGGGUCCAGCAGCUCUGCGGAGGCAUCUGGAACAGAGGAGGAGGAGGAAGUGCCCAGUUUCACCAUGGGGCGAUGACAAUGUUUGCCACAGCCUCUGCCUGGAACCUGGCUCGUGCUGUGACCAGAAGGGAAAGGCGGCUGUUUGGCUCUUUCUCCCCCGCAAGGACCCGCUGACCCGCUGGAUGGAGAGCAAAGGAGACCCCUCCCGAGCCGCUCACAGUCCUGCAUUUGGCAGGUUUGGGAGCCUGAGGGGCCAUCUCCCUGACACUCAGAGGCACUGCCUUGCAGACACCAUCCGUGCUCCUGGUAAAGGGGGACAGAGAGCCUCACCUUGCCACAUAUUUGAACAGUGAUGAGUUUGGGGCUGGUUUCUGGGAAGGGAAUGUUUAUUUAGUAAAGAGCAGAACACCCUUG
This 1625-nucleotide small RNA is filed under the name Pan troglodytes (chimpanzee). RNAcentral's name for it is "processed transcript". Lineage: Eukaryota; Metazoa; Chordata; Mammalia; Primates; Hominidae. The record is from RNAcentral.